GGAGUUGUGGCUCAGUGGUACAGUGCUUGCCUGGCAUGCAUGAGACUCUGGGUUCAAUCCUCAGCGCCG
This 69-nucleotide transfer RNA is filed under the name Ictidomys tridecemlineatus (thirteen-lined ground squirrel). Its description in RNAcentral is "Spermophilus tridecemlineatus (thirteen-lined ground squirrel) tRNA". It matches the Rfam family "tRNA". Rfam says of the family: Transfer RNA (tRNA) molecules are approximately 80 nucleotides in length. Their secondary structure includes four short double-helical elements and three loops (D, anti-codon, and T loops). Lineage: Eukaryota; Metazoa; Chordata; Mammalia; Rodentia; Sciuridae. The record is from Rfam by way of RNAcentral.